This 402-nucleotide ribosomal RNA is filed under the name Triticum aestivum (bread wheat). RNAcentral's name for it is "partial small subunit ribosomal RNA". The record is from RNAcentral. Lineage: Eukaryota; Viridiplantae; Streptophyta; Magnoliopsida; Poales; Poaceae.
AUGGCUGCCAGGCAUCCUGACGCCAACCACAGCCACACACACGCAUGCGAGGGGAUAAGCCCCAGGCCCACACGCAUGCGAGGGGAUAAGCCCCGCGCCGCUCCUCUCCAACCUGUGGCCGAGGCCCCGUUUGCCUCCAUCGAUUCCCUUCCCCUCUCUCCUCUCGCUUGCAAGACCCCCGUCGCCGUCGGCCAGCUCUCCCUUCCCCGGCGCUCCCUCUCCCUAGACUCUACACCCGCAAGCCUCGACCGUGCCUCCAAGCCGAGCGCCUCCAGCUGCAGCUCGUCGGCCACGCUCUCCGACUGUUGCGCCUUCCCUCCCGGCCAGCAUCCGGGUCUCCAUCUCAGGCCGCGAUGCACACCGCCACGCGCGAGCUGGAGUAGUAGGGAGGUUGCGCCGUGA